AGAGUUUGAUCCUGGCUCAGAACGUACGCUGGCGGCACGCCUAACACAUGCAAGUCGAACGAAGUAGCAAUACUUAGUGGCAGACGGGUGAGUAACAUGUAGGUAUCUGCCCUUUGGCCUGGAAUAACACGAGGAAACUUGUGCUAAUACCGGAUAAGUCUUUACGGAGAAAGCUUUAUGCACCAUUGGAUGAGCCUGCACUUGAUUAGUUUGUUGGUGGGGUAAUGGCCUACCAAGACUGUGAUCAAUAGCUGAUUUGAGAGGAUGAUCAGCCACAUUGGGACUGAGACACGGCCCAAACUCCUACGGGAGGCAGCAGUGGGGAAUCUUGCACAAUGGAGGAAACUCUGAUGCAGCGAUGCCGCGUGAGUGAAGAAGGCCCUUGGGUUGUAAAGCUCUUUCGUCGGGGAAGAAAAUGACUGUACCCGAAUAAGAAGGUCCGGCUAACUUCGUGCCAGCAGCCGCGGUAAUACGAAGGGACCUAGCGUAGUUCGGAAUUACUGGGCUUAAAGAGUUCGUAGGUGGUUGAAAAAGUUAGUGGUGAAAUCCCAGAGCUUAACUCUGGAACUGCCAUUAAAACUUUUCAGCUAGAGUAUGAUAGAGGAAAGCAGAAUUUCUAGUGUAGAGGUGAAAUUCGUAGAUAUUAGAAAGAAUACCAAUUGCGAAGGCAGCUUUCUGGAUCAUUACUGACACUGAGGAACGAAAGCAUGGGUAGCGAAGAGGAUUAGAUACCCUCGUAGUCCAUGCCGUAAACGAUGUGUGUUAGACGUUGGAAAUUUAUUUUCAGUGUCGCAGGAAACCGAUAAACACACCGCCUGGGGAGUACGACCGCAAGGUUAAAACUCAAAUGAAUUGACGGGGACCCGCACAAGUAGUGGAGCAUGUGGUUUAAUUC
Molecule: ribosomal RNA, 895 nt
Filed under: uncultured Alphaproteobacteria bacterium
Lineage: Bacteria; Pseudomonadati; Pseudomonadota; Alphaproteobacteria
Description: bacterial SSU rRNA
Rfam family: Bacterial small subunit ribosomal RNA
Source: RNAcentral